UCGCCUCCUAAAAGGUAACGGAGGCGCUCAAAGGUUCCCUCAGAAUGGUUGGAAAUCAUUCAUAGAGUGUAAAGGCAUAAGGGAGCUUGACUGCGAGACCUACAAGUCGAGCAGGGUCGAAAGACGGACUUAGUGAUCCGGUGGUUCCGCAUGGAAGGGCCAUCGCUCAACGGAUAAAAGCUACCCCGGGGAUAACAGGCUUAUCUCCCCCAAGAGUUCACAUCGACGGGGAGGUUUGGCACCUCGAUGUCGGCUCAUCGCAUCCUGGGGCUGUAGUCGGUCCCAAGGGUUGGGCUGUUCGCCCAUUAAAGCGGUACGCGAGCUGGGUUCAGAACGUCGUGAGACAGUUCGGUCCCUAUCCGUCGUGGGCGUAGGAAAUUUGAGAGGAGCUGUCCUUAGUACGAGAGGACCGGGAUGGACAUACCUCUGGUGUACCAGUUGUCGUGCCAACGGCAUAGCUGGGUAGCUAUGUGUGGACGGGAUAAGUGCUGAAAGCAUCUAAGCAUGAAGCCCCCCUCAAGAUGAGAUUUCCCAACUUCGGUUAUAAGAUCCCUCAAAGAUGAUGAGGUUAAUAGGUUCGAGGUGGAAGCAUGGUGACAUGUGGAGCUGACGAAUACUAAUCGAUCGAAGACUUAAUCAA
RNAcentral lists this ribosomal RNA (640 nucleotides) under Staphylococcus aureus. Its description in RNAcentral is "partial 23S ribosomal RNA". It matches the Rfam family "Bacterial large subunit ribosomal RNA", at positions 2283 to 2925 of the family's 2925-position model. The record is from RNAcentral. Lineage: Bacteria; Bacillati; Bacillota; Bacilli; Caryophanales; Staphylococcaceae.